RNAcentral lists this ribosomal RNA (258 nucleotides) under uncultured bacterium. Its description in RNAcentral is "partial 16S ribosomal RNA". It matches the Rfam family "Bacterial small subunit ribosomal RNA", at positions 15 to 244 of the family's 1533-position model. The record is from RNAcentral.
GAUCCUGGCUCAGGACGAACGCUGGCGGCGUGCUUAACACAUGCAAGUCGAACGGGAAGAAAAAGAAGAGCUUGCUCUUUUUUUGGAUUCUAGUGGCAAACGGGUGAGUAACACGUAAACAACCUGCCUUCAGGAUGGGGACAACAGACGGAAACGACUGCUAAUACCGAAUACCUUCCAAUUUCCGCAUGGAGAUAGGAAGAAAGGGUGGCCUCUACUUGUAAGCUAUCGCCUGAAGAGGGGUUUGCGUCUGAUUAG